AUACGUAGGUGGCAAGCGUUGUCCGGAAUUAUUGGGCGUAAAGCGCGCGCAGGCGGUCCUUUAAGUCCGAUGUGAAAGCCCACGGCUCAACCGUGGAGGGUCAUUGGAAACUGGGGGACUUGAGUGCAGAAGAGGAGAGCGGAAUUCCACGUGUAGCGGUGAAAUGCGUAGAGAUGUGGAGGAACACCAGUGGCGAAGGCGACUCUCUGGUCUGUAACUGACGCUGAGGAGCGAAAGCGUGGGGAGCGAACAGGAUUAGAUACCCUGGUAGUCCACGCCGUAAACGAUGAGUGCUAAGUGUUAGGGGGUUUCCGCCCCUUAGUGCUGCAGCUAACGCAUUAAGCACUCCGCCUGGGGAGUACGGUCGCAAGACUGAA
RNAcentral lists this ribosomal RNA (377 nucleotides) under uncultured bacterium. Its description in RNAcentral is "bacterial SSU rRNA". It matches the Rfam family "Bacterial small subunit ribosomal RNA", at positions 523 to 898 of the family's 1533-position model. The record is from RNAcentral.